RNAcentral lists this ribosomal RNA (253 nucleotides) under uncultured bacterium. RNAcentral describes it as "partial 16S ribosomal RNA". It matches the Rfam family "Bacterial small subunit ribosomal RNA", at positions 524 to 776 of the family's 1533-position model. The record is from RNAcentral.
UACGGGGGGGGCAAGCGUUGUCCGGAAUUACUGGGCGUAAAGGGCUCGUAGGCGGCCAAUUAAGUCCGACGUGAAAUCCCAAGGCUUAACCUUGGAACUGCGUCGGAUACUGGAUGGCUUGAAUUCGGGAGAGGGAUGCAGAAUUCCAGGUGUAGCGGUGAAAUGCGUAGAUAUCUGGAGGAAUACCGGUGGCGAAGGCGGCAUCCUGGACCGACAUUGACGCUGAGGAGCGAAAGCUAGGGGAGCAAACGGG